RNAcentral lists this transfer RNA (85 nucleotides) under Lachnospira pectinoschiza. RNAcentral's name for it is "tRNA-Leu(caa)". It matches the Rfam family "tRNA". From Rfam's summary of the family: Transfer RNA (tRNA) molecules are approximately 80 nucleotides in length. The record is from RNAcentral. Lineage: Bacteria; Bacillati; Bacillota; Clostridia; Lachnospirales; Lachnospiraceae.
UGCGGAAGUGGCGGAAUGGCAGACGCAGCAGACUCAAAAUCUGCCGGUGGUGACAUCGUGUGGGUUCAAGUCCCAUCUUCCGCAU